Molecule: ribosomal RNA, 322 nt
Filed under: uncultured eukaryote
Lineage: Eukaryota
Description: partial 18S ribosomal RNA
Rfam family: Eukaryotic small subunit ribosomal RNA
Source: RNAcentral
CCCUUAGAUGUUCUGGGCUGCACGCGCGCUACACUGAUGCGCUCAACGAGUUUGCGUCCUUGCCUGGCAAGGUCGGGUAAUCUGUUCAAAACGCAUCGUGAUGGGGAUAGAUUAUUGCAAUUAUUAAUCUUCAACGAGGAAUUCCUAGUAAGCGCGAGUCAUCAGCUCGUGCUGAUUACGUCCCUGCCCUUUGUACACACCGCCCGUCGCACCUACCGAUUGAAUGGUCCGGUGAAAUCUCGGGACGGCGGCUUGGUCGCUUGCGUCCGACUGCUGAAACUUGAUUAAACCAUAUCAUUUAGAGGAAGGUGAAGUCGUAACA